Molecule: long non-coding RNA, 431 nt
Filed under: Nicotiana benthamiana
Lineage: Eukaryota; Viridiplantae; Streptophyta; Magnoliopsida; Solanales; Solanaceae
Description: long non-coding RNA (NBEN_LNC013848)
Source: RNAcentral
GCCCUGUGUGUUUGCAAAGCGAAAUAGAAGUUGUUUGGUCUUAGAGAUGAUUGAGGCAUUUCUUUGUGUAGCCUGUAUAAUUGUGAAUCCACCUGUAUAUAUUGCCAUAGUUAACCCCUUUGAGCCUGAAGCUUGUUCUUUGAUAACCCUAUAAUGACCUAUAUCCAUGUGUUUGAAUAGUUUGACUGUUUGAACCUGUACCUCUUAAAAGCACUUGAAUUACUAAAGAACAUACAAAAGUCAAAGAAUAGGGUUGUAAGGAAGUAGGGAAAAGGGGAAUCAGGAAAGAAAUACUUGAAUGGUGCAAUGGAUUUGUAGAAGAAAGAAAAAAAAUAAAACAAAACAAAAAAAAAGAAAAAAAAAGCCAGUUGCACCUAAAGAAAAAUGGGGUUCACCUAUGAACUAAAAUGUGGAAGAACGCUUGAGCUGAG